GACGAACGCUGGCGGCGUGCUUAGCACAUGCAAGUCGAACGGAAAGGCCCUGCUUUUGUGGGGUGCUCGAGUGGCGAACGGGUGAGUAACACGUGAGUAACCUGCCCUUGACUUUGGGAUAACUUCAGGAAACUGGGGCUAAUACCGGAUAGGAGCUCCUGCUGCAUGGUGGGGGUUGGAAAGUUUCGGCGGUUGGGGAUGGACUCGCGGCUUAUCAGCUUGUUGGUGGGGUAGUGGCUUACCAAGGCUUUGACGGGUAGCCGGCCUGAGAGGGUGACCGGCCACAUGGGGCCUGAGAUAGGCACCAGUCUCCAACGGGAGGCAGCGGGGGGGAAUAUUGCACAGUGGGCGCAAGCCUGAUACGGAAACGCCGCGGUCGGAAUGACGGCUUUCGGGUUGUAAACCGCUGUCGCCGUUGACGAAGCGGGAGUGACGGUAAUGGGUAAAGAAGCACCGGCUAACUACGUG
Molecule: ribosomal RNA, 468 nt
Filed under: uncultured bacterium
Lineage: Bacteria
Description: partial 16S ribosomal RNA
Rfam family: Bacterial small subunit ribosomal RNA
Source: RNAcentral